CCCUACGGGGGGCAGCAGUGGGGAAUAUUGCACAAUGGGGGAAACCCUGAUGCAGCAACGCCGCGUAAGUGAAGAAGUCAUUCGUGAUGUAAAGCUCUAUCAGCAGGGAAGAAAAUGACGGUACCUGAGUAAGAAGCCCCGGCUAACUACGUGCCAGCAGCCGCGGUAAUACGUAGGGGGCAAGCGUUAUCCGGAUUUACUGGGUGUAAAGGGAGCGUAGACGGCCAGACAAGUCUGAAGUGAAAAUC
Molecule: ribosomal RNA, 248 nt
Filed under: uncultured bacterium
Lineage: Bacteria
Description: partial 16S ribosomal RNA
Rfam family: Bacterial small subunit ribosomal RNA
Source: RNAcentral